UGUUUUGUUAUCUGUCAUGGUAUUGUUGGAUGGUGUUUGUGGUGUUUGUGGUGGUGAUCGUCGUCGUGGCACUGGAGGUGGUUGUUGGUGGCAUUGGUUGGUGGUAUUUGUGGUGACAUUGGUUAGUGGUGUUUGUGGUGGUUAUCGAUGGUGUCAGUAUUCAUGGUGUUUAUGGCAUUGGUUGGUGGUGUUUGUGGUGGUGGUGACUGUUGGUGUGUCGUUAUUGGUGGUGUUUGUAAUGUAUUUUUUUUAAAUUUAUGCAUACAUCAAUUGUAAUGUAUUUUUUGUUUUUCUGUUGUUUGUAGGUAAAACAUGUCUCCCAAAAGAAAAGAAAGUGAAAGUGGAUCAACGUCUGAGAGAGAUUCGAAGGAGUUUCCUGAAUAUUCUCAGUCAGGAAAACAAAGUAAAGCUGAGGAGAGAUAUAAAAAAUAUUGAGAGAGGUGGACAAGGGUCUGUAGAUGCUGAUAAAGAAAAUAAAAGUGAGAAAGAGGAGAAAUUAGAGAGUGAGAAAAAGAAAGAUAAAGAGAAAGAGGAUGAUCAUCAACAUGAUGAUAACAGAUCACCAAUGGGGCGUGAAUUAAUAUCGACAUCCCAACAUGAUUCUGUCAAAACUUUUAGUAUUGACAAGUUUCAAGUUGCGAUGCCGAUAAAUGACAAAAAAAAUAUAAGAAGAACUAACUGGUGAA
RNAcentral lists this long non-coding RNA (686 nucleotides) under Capsicum annuum. RNAcentral's name for it is "long non-coding RNA (CANN_LNC006378)". Lineage: Eukaryota; Viridiplantae; Streptophyta; Magnoliopsida; Solanales; Solanaceae. The record is from RNAcentral.